CCUACGGGGAGCUGCAGUGGGGAAUAUUGCACAAUGGGCGCAAGCCUGAUGCAGCCAUGCCGCGUGUGUGAAGAAGGCCUUCGGGUUGUAAAGCACUUUCAGCGGGGAGGAAGGCGGUGAGGUUAAUAACCUCAUCGAUUGACGUUACCCGCAGAAGAAGCACCGGCUAACUCCGUGCCAGCAGCCGCGGUAAUACGGAGGGUGCAAGCGUUAAUCGGAAUUACUGGGCGUAAAGCGCACGCAGGCGGUCUGUCAAGUCGGAUGUGAAAUCCCCGGGCUCAACCUGGGAACUGCAUUCGAAACUGGCAGGCUAGAGUCUUGUAGAGGGGGGUAGAAUUCCAGGUGUAGCGGUGAAAUGCGUAGAGAUCUGGAGGAAUACCGGUGGCGAAGGCGGCCCCCUGGACAAAGACUGACGCUCAGGUGCGAAAGCGUGGGGAGCAAACGGGAUUAGAUACCCUAGUAGUC
RNAcentral lists this ribosomal RNA (465 nucleotides) under uncultured Klebsiella sp. RNAcentral describes it as "bacterial SSU rRNA". It matches the Rfam family "Bacterial small subunit ribosomal RNA", at positions 338 to 795 of the family's 1533-position model. The record is from RNAcentral. Lineage: Bacteria; Pseudomonadati; Pseudomonadota; Gammaproteobacteria; Enterobacterales; Enterobacteriaceae.